Manis pentadactyla (Chinese pangolin) is the source of this 107-nucleotide small nuclear RNA. Lineage: Eukaryota; Metazoa; Chordata; Mammalia; Pholidota; Manidae. The record is from RefSeq and is a predicted model, not a curated record.
GUGCUCGCUUUGGCAGCACAUAUGCUAAAAUUGGAAUGAUACAGAGAAGAUUAGCAUGACCCCUGCGCAAGGAUGAUCAACAAAUUCAUGAAGCAUUCCACAUGCAA